UACGGGAGGUGCGAGCGUUGUUCGGAAUCACUGGGCGUAAAGAGCACGUAGGCGGGUUCGUAUGUCAUCUGUGAAAACCCUGGGCUCAACCUGGGACCUGCAGGUGAAACUGCGAAUCUUGAAUACCUAAGAGGGUGGGGGAAUUCCUGGUGGAGAAGUGAAAUUCGUAGAUAUCAGGAGGAACAUCGGAGGCGAAGGCGCCUGCCUGGUAGUGUAUUGACGCUGAGGUGCGAAAGUGCGGGGAGCAAAC
RNAcentral lists this ribosomal RNA (250 nucleotides) under uncultured bacterium. RNAcentral describes it as "partial 16S ribosomal RNA". It matches the Rfam family "Bacterial small subunit ribosomal RNA", at positions 524 to 773 of the family's 1533-position model. The record is from RNAcentral.